Molecule: long non-coding RNA, 334 nt
Filed under: Cucumis sativus (cucumber)
Lineage: Eukaryota; Viridiplantae; Streptophyta; Magnoliopsida; Cucurbitales; Cucurbitaceae
Description: long non-coding RNA (CSAT_LNC001252)
Source: RNAcentral
GACCAUGUAAUAGUCCAUCAUCGAAGCAAGAGUUAAAAUUCUUUUUGCUGAGUGAAAAAGUAAAUAGAAGAUCCAAGUAGCACUUACAUAGGUGUUGAAAUAUUAUAGCCCUGAUUCAUUUAUCGAUCUUAGGACCCAGAUAAUAGAGGUCUUUUCAAGCUAAUCUUAGGACCCAGAUAAUAGAGGUCUUUUCAAGCUAAUCUUCUCCGUCUGGGUGCUCGAGAGUUUCCACUGUCUACAUCCGAAACUUGUAAAGCAUCAUUUCUCCUUCUGGAGGAUGAUGUUGAAAUGGAAACCAUGGAAUCAAUUUCUACAGCAGUGUCCAUUUGACUCU